This 484-nucleotide ribosomal RNA is filed under the name uncultured bacterium. RNAcentral's name for it is "partial 16S ribosomal RNA". It matches the Rfam family "Bacterial small subunit ribosomal RNA", at positions 28 to 523 of the family's 1533-position model. The record is from RNAcentral.
GACGAACGCUGGCGGCGCGCCUAACACAUGCAAGUCGAACGGAGUCAAGAGGAGCUUGCUUUUCUUGACUUAGUGGCGAACGGGUGAGUAACGCGUGAGUAACCUGCCCUGGAGUGGGGGACAACAGUUGGAAACGACUGCUAAUACCGCAUAAGCCCACGGAUCCGCAUGGAUCUGAGGGAAAAGGAUUUAUUCGCGUCAGGAUGGACUCGCGUCCAAUUAGCUAGUUGGUGAGGUAACGGCCCACCAAGGCGACGAUUGGUAGCCGGACUGAGAGGUUGAACGGCCACAUUGGGACUGAGACACGGCCCAGACUCCUACGGGAGGCAGCAGUGGGGGAUAUUGCACAAUGGGGGAAACCCUGAUGCAGCGACGCCGCGUGGAGGAAGAAGGUUUUCGGAUUGUAAACUCCUGUCGUUAGGGACGAUAAUGACGGUACCUAACAAGAAAGCACCGGCUAACUACGUGCCAGCAGCCGCCGUAA